CAAAUGAAUUGACGGGGCCGCACAAGCGAGGACAUGUGGUUAAUCGAUGAUACGCGUAGGAACCUUACUGGGCUUAAAUGUAGAGUGCAUUUUUAGAGAUAGAAAUUCCCUUCGGGGCUUUCUGCAAGGUGCUGCAUGGUUGUCGUCAGCUCGUGCCGUGAGGUGUCGGGUUAAGUCCCAUAACGAGCGCAACCCUUAUCGUUAGUUGCCAUCUGGUAAUGCAGGGGACUCUAGCGAAACUGCCACCGUAAGGUGAGAGGAAGGUGGGGAUGACGUCAAAUCAGCACGGCCCUUAUGUCCAGGGCUACACACGUGUUACAAUGGUCGGUACAGAGGGCAGCUACCUGGUGACAGGAUGCUAAUCUCGAAAACCGGUCUCAGUUCGGAUCGAAGUCUGCAACUCGACUUCGUGAAGCUGGAUUCGCUAGUAAUCGCGCAUCAGCUAUGGCGCGGUGAAUACGUUCCCGGGCCUU
This 473-nucleotide ribosomal RNA is filed under the name uncultured Sphingobacteriales bacterium. RNAcentral's name for it is "bacterial SSU rRNA". It matches the Rfam family "Bacterial small subunit ribosomal RNA", at positions 902 to 1382 of the family's 1533-position model. Lineage: Bacteria; Pseudomonadati; Bacteroidota; Sphingobacteriia; Sphingobacteriales. The record is from RNAcentral.